CCUACGGGAGGCAGCAGUGGGGAAGUAUUGCACAAUGGGCGCAAGCCUGAUGCAGCAACGCCGCGUAGAGGGACGACGGCCUUCGGGUUGUAAACCUCUUUUAGUAGGGAAGAAGCGAAAGUGACGGUACCUGCAGAAAAAGCACCGGCUAACUACGUGCCAGCAGCCGCGGUAAUACGUAGGGUGCAAGCGUUAUCCGGAAUUAUUGGGCGUAAAGAGCUCGUAGGCGGUUUGUCGCGUCUGCUGUGAAAACUGGAGGCUCAACCUCCAGCCUGCAGUGGGUACGGGCAGACUAGAGUGCGGUAGGGGAGAUUGGAAUUCCUGGUGUAGCGGUGGAAUGCGCAGAUAUCAGGAGGAACACCGAUGGCGAAGGCAGAUCUCUGGGCCGUAAACUGACGCUGAGGAGCGAAAGCAUGGGGAGCGAACAGGAUUAGAUACCCUGGUAGUCCAUGCCGUAAACGUUGGGAACUAGAUGUAGGGACCAUUCCACGGUUUUCUGUGUCGCAGCUACGACAUACGUUACCCGUCCGUCGGGAGGUACGGCCGCGACGGACGUAACUACGAACGAAGUAGACGGCGUGAGACGUCGCCGACGGACGACGACGAGGGAGGAGG
RNAcentral lists this ribosomal RNA (615 nucleotides) under uncultured bacterium. RNAcentral's name for it is "bacterial SSU rRNA". The stretch from base 1 to 528 matches the Rfam family "Bacterial small subunit ribosomal RNA", at positions 338 to 873 of the family's 1533-position model. The record is from RNAcentral.